RNAcentral lists this ribosomal RNA (870 nucleotides) under uncultured bacterium. RNAcentral describes it as "bacterial SSU rRNA". It matches the Rfam family "Bacterial small subunit ribosomal RNA", at positions 78 to 947 of the family's 1533-position model. The record is from RNAcentral.
GCAAUACAUGGGCGGCGACCGGCAAACGGGUGCGGAACACGUACACAACCUUCCGAGAAGUGGGGAAUAGCCCAGAGAAAUUUGGAUUAAUACCCCGUAACAUAACGAUGUGGCAUCACAUUGUUAUUAUAGCUUCGGCGCUUCUUGAUGGGUGUGCGGCUGAUUAGAUAGUUGGCGGGGUAACGGCCCACCAAGUCUACGAUCAGUAGCUGAUGUGAGAGCAUGAUCAGCCACACGGGCACUGAGACACGGGCCCGACUCCUACGGGAGGCAGCAGUAAGGAAUAUUGGUCAAUGGACGCAAGUCUGAACCAGCCAUGCCGCGUGAAGGAUUAAGGUCCUCUGGAUUGUAAACUUCUUUUAUCUGGGACGAAAAAAGGCGAUUCUUCGUCACUUGACGGUACCAAGAUGAAUAAGCACCGGCUAACUCCGUGCCAGCAGCCGCGGUAAUACGGAGGGUGCAAGCGUUAUCCGGAUUCACUGGGUUUAAAGGGUGCGUAGGCGGGCAGGUAAGUCAGUGGUGAAAUCCUAGAGCUUAACUCUAGAACUGCCAUUGAUACUAUCUGUCUUGAAUAUUGUGGAGGUAAGCGGAAUAUGUCAUGUAGCGGUGAAAUGCUUAGAUAUGACAUAGAACACCUAUUGCGAAGGCAGCUUACUACGCAUAUAUUGACGCUGAGGCACGAAAGCGUGGGGAUCAAACAGGAUUAGAUACCCUGGUAGUCCACGCCCUAAACGAUGAUUACUCGACAUUUGUGAUACACUAUAAGUGUCUGAGCGAAAGCAUUAAGUAAUCCACCUGGGAAGUACGAUCGCAAGGUUGAAACUCAAAGGAAUUGGCGGGGGUCCGCACAAGCGGUGGAGCAUGUGGUUU